RNAcentral lists this ribosomal RNA (253 nucleotides) under uncultured bacterium. RNAcentral describes it as "partial 16S ribosomal RNA". It matches the Rfam family "Bacterial small subunit ribosomal RNA", at positions 524 to 776 of the family's 1533-position model. The record is from RNAcentral.
UACGAAGGGGGCUAGCGUUGUUCGGAUUUACUGGGCGUAAAGCGCACGUAGGCGGACUAUUAAGUCAGGGGUGAAAUCCCGGGGCUCAACCCCGGAACUGCCUUUGAUACUGGUAGUCUUGAGUUCGAGAGAGGUGAGUGGAAUUCCGAGUGUAGAGGUGAAAUUCGUAGAUAUUCGCAAGAACACCAGUGGCGAAGGCGGCUCACUGGCCCGAUACUGACGCUGAGGCACGAAAGCGUGGGGAGCAAACAGG